Molecule: ribosomal RNA, 439 nt
Filed under: uncultured Anaerolineaceae bacterium
Lineage: Bacteria; Bacillati; Chloroflexota; Anaerolineae; Anaerolineales; Anaerolineaceae
Description: bacterial SSU rRNA
Rfam family: Bacterial small subunit ribosomal RNA
Source: RNAcentral
ACAAGCAGCGGAGCGUGUGGUUAAUUCGAUGCUACACGAAGAACUUACCAGGGUUUGACAUGCAAGUGGUAGGAAUCUGAAAGGGACCGACCUUCGGGAGCUUGCACAGGUGCUGCAUGGCUGUCGUCAGCUCGUGUCGUGAGAUGUUCGGUUAAGUCCGCUAACGAGCGCAACCCUCACUGUGUGUUAUAUGUGUCACACGGGACUGCCGGUUUUAAGCCGGAGGAAGGUGGGGAUGACGUCAAGUCAGCAUGGCCUUUAUAUCCUGGGCUACACACACGCUACAAUGGUCGGUACAAUAGGUUGCCAAGCCGCGAGGCGGAGCCAAUCCACAAAGCCGGCCUCAGUUCAGAUUGUAGGCUGCAACUCGCCUGCAUGAAGAUGGAGUUGCUAGUAACCGCAGGUCAGCAAUACUGCGGUGAAUACGUUCCCGGGUCUU